CUGUGAGACUUUGUUGACAAAUCGUUUCAUGUCCUCUGGGCAAGUCUUGGAACAUUCUCUUUGUGCUUCCAAGGAGAAUAAUAAUCUUGGCAAGAAGCUGUAGUUGUACUAGCUUUAUUUCUCUUAGCUGCGGGUGAAUGUCCCUCCAAGGGCUCCUGCUCUGGGCCAAUUUUGGAUGGGUGUGUCUUCAUCUGGAUUGUGGUGGAUCUACUCUCUAAGACUUUGCCUAUGUCUAGAAUAAGGAGAGGAGACCUGGAAGAACUGCAAGUUUAAACUCAAGAGUUACUGAGAAUACAGAAAAUACCUGCAGAGCUGGGAAGCCAAUGGGAAUACAGAAAAGCUUGCAGAAUUGAAGAAUCCUGAAAACCCCAAGUGCUUUCAAUCCAGACCCAGGCUCCCAGGGGGACACUGUGAUGGCACUCACUCCAACAGUUCCCUAGCAAAGGUCUCCAAGCUGGUCUCCUGGAGAAUGUUCCCUUCUUGGAAAGCUGCAGCUAAUGAAACUAAAAUAAAUGAUAAAAGGAUAUUUGAUUCUCAGAAAUCCCGUUUUCAGUCAAUGUGGCUAGAAUACAUGCAUUUAAUAAAGUAAAG
This 591-nucleotide long non-coding RNA is filed under the name Homo sapiens (human). RNAcentral describes it as "HSALNT0221098". Lineage: Eukaryota; Metazoa; Chordata; Mammalia; Primates; Hominidae. The record is from RNAcentral.